This 301-nucleotide ribosomal RNA is filed under the name uncultured bacterium. RNAcentral's name for it is "bacterial SSU rRNA". It matches the Rfam family "Bacterial small subunit ribosomal RNA", at positions 509 to 809 of the family's 1533-position model. The record is from RNAcentral.
CAGCAGCCGCGGUAAUACGGAGGGUGCAAGCGUUAUCCGGAUUCACUGGGUUUAAAGGGUGCGUAGGAGGGCAGGUAAGUCCGUGGUGAAAUCUCUGAGCUUAACUCAGAAACUGCCGUGGAUACUACCGGUCUUGAAUACCGUGGAGGUGAGCGGAAUAUGUCAUGUAGCGGUGAAAUGCUUAGAUAUGACAUAGAACACCAAUUGCGAAGGCAGCUCACUACCCGAAUAUUGACUCUGAGGCACGAAAGCGUGGGGAUCAAACAGGAUUAGAUACCCUGGUAGUCCACGCCCUAAACUA